This 506-nucleotide ribosomal RNA is filed under the name uncultured bacterium. RNAcentral's name for it is "bacterial SSU rRNA". It matches the Rfam family "Bacterial small subunit ribosomal RNA", at positions 791 to 1299 of the family's 1533-position model. The record is from RNAcentral.
UAGUCCACGCCGUAAACGAUGUCUACUAGCUGUCUGUGCGAUUAAGUGUGGGUAGCGAAGCUAACGCGAUAAGUAGACCGCCUGGGGAGUACGGCCGCAAGGUUAAAACUCAAAUGAAUUGACGGGGGCCCGCACAAGCGGUGGAGCAUGUGGUUUAAUUCGAUGCAACGCGAAGAACCUUACCAGGACUUGACAUCCAGAGAACUUACUAGAGAUAGUUUGGUGCCUUCGGGAACUCUGAGACAGGUGCUGCAUGGCUGUCGUCAGCUCGUGUUGUGAGAUGUUGGGUUAAGUCCCGCAACGAGCGCAACCCUUGUCCUUAGUUGCCAGCAUUAAGUUGGGCACUCUAAGGAGACUGCCGGUGACAAACCGGAGGAAGGUGGGGACGACGUCAAGUCAUCAUGGCCCUUACGUCCUGGGCUACACACGUGCUACAAUGGGCAGUACAAAGAGAAGCGAAGUCGCGAGGCGGAGCGGAUCUCAUAAAGCUGUUCGUAGUCCGGAUU